Molecule: ribosomal RNA, 422 nt
Filed under: uncultured bacterium
Lineage: Bacteria
Description: partial 16S ribosomal RNA
Rfam family: Bacterial small subunit ribosomal RNA
Source: RNAcentral
UAUUUUGGACAACGGGGGAAACCCUGAUCCAGCCAUCCCGCGUGUAUGAUGAAGGCCUUCGGGUUGUAAAGUACUUUUGGCAGAGAAGAAAAGUUACCUCCUAAUACGAGGUACUGCUGACGGUAUCUGCAGAAUAAGCACCGUCCAACAACGUGCUAGCAGCCGCGGUAAUACGUAGGGUGCAAGCGUUAACUGGAAUUACUGGGCGUAAAGCGUGUGUAGGCGGUUCGGAAAGAAAGAUGUGAAAUCCCAGGGCUCGACCUUGGAACUGCAUUUUUAACUGCCGAGCUAGAGUAUGUCAGAGGGGGGUAGAAUUCCACGUGUAGCAGUGAAAUGCGUAGAUAUGUGGAGGAAUACAGAUGGCGAAGGCAGCCCCCUGGGAUAAUACUGACGCUCAGACACGAAAGCGUGGGGAGCAAACA